UGGGGAAUAUUGGACAAUGGGCGCAAGCCUGAUCCAGCCAUGCCGCGUGUGUGAAGAAGGCCUUCGGGUUGUAAAGCACUUUUGUCCGGAAAGAAAUCCUGUCGGCUAAUACCCGGCGGGGAUGACGGUACCGGAAGAAUAAGCACCGACUAACUUCGUGCCAGCAGCCGCGGUAAUACGAAGGGUGCAAGCGUUACUCGGAAUUACUGGGCGUAAAGCGUGCGUAGGUGGUUUGUUAAGUCUGAUGUGAAAGCCCUGGGCUCAACCUGGGAACUGCAUUGGAUACUGGCUUACUAGAGUGCGGUAGAGGGUGGCGGAAUUCCCGGUGUAGCAGUGAAAUGCGUAGAUAUCGGGAGGAACAUCCGUGGCGAAGGCGCCACCUGGACAGCACUGACACUGAGGCACGAAAGCGUGGGGAGCAAACAGGAUUAGAUACCCUGGUAGUCCACGCCCUAAACGAUGCGAACUGGAUGUUGGGAGCAACUAGGCUCUCAGUAUCGAAGCUAACGCGUUAAGUUCGCCGCCUGGGAAGUACGGUCGCAAGACUGAAACUUAAACGAAUUGACGGGGUCAUAGCUGUUUCCU
This 585-nucleotide ribosomal RNA is filed under the name uncultured bacterium. Its description in RNAcentral is "partial 16S ribosomal RNA". It matches the Rfam family "Bacterial small subunit ribosomal RNA", at positions 355 to 1375 of the family's 1533-position model. The record is from RNAcentral.